UACGGAGGGUGCAAGCGUUAAUCGGAAUUACUGGGCGUAAAGCGUGCGCAGGCGGUUUGUUAAGUCCGCUGUGAAAUCCCCGAGCUCAACUUGGGAAUUGCAGUGGAUACUGGCGAGCUGGAGUAUGGUAGAGGAAGGUGGAAUUCCCGGUGUAGCAGUGAAAUGCGUAGAGAUCGGGAGGAACACCAGUGGCGAAGGCGGCCUUCUGGACCAAUACUGACGCUCAUGCACGAAAGCGUGGGGAGCAAACAGG
RNAcentral lists this ribosomal RNA (253 nucleotides) under uncultured bacterium. Its description in RNAcentral is "partial 16S ribosomal RNA". It matches the Rfam family "Bacterial small subunit ribosomal RNA", at positions 524 to 776 of the family's 1533-position model. The record is from RNAcentral.